UACGUAGGGUGCGAGCGUUAAUCGGAAUUACUGGGCGUAAAGGGUGCGUAGGCGGGCUGUUAAGUCAGCGGUAAAAGCCCGGGGCUCAACCCCGGCGAGCCGUUGAAACUGGCUGUCUUGAGAUGUCGAGAGGUAUGCGGAAUGCGCAGUGUAGCGGUGAAAUGCUUAGAUAUUGCGCAGAACUCCGAUUGCGAAGGCAGCAUACCGGCGCCCAACUGACGCUGAGGCACGAAAGCGUGGGGAUCGAACAGG
This 252-nucleotide ribosomal RNA is filed under the name uncultured Bacteroidales bacterium. Its description in RNAcentral is "partial 16S ribosomal RNA". It matches the Rfam family "Bacterial small subunit ribosomal RNA", at positions 524 to 776 of the family's 1533-position model. The record is from RNAcentral. Lineage: Bacteria; Pseudomonadati; Bacteroidota; Bacteroidia; Bacteroidales.